CCUCACCAGAUUCCCCUUUCUCUCUCUCUUCCCUCGUCAUUCUCCAUCUCCUCUCUCGCCUCUCCAUCUCUCCCUCGAUUCCCUCUGUCCCUCUCAAUUCCCUCAUUCUUUCUCUACAAACAAAGUCCUCUCAAUGAUACACCUUUGGGACUGUUGCCAUUAUUGCUAGUGGUGGAUCCCAGUUGUCAACGAAAAGUUGCUCAUGAGAAACCCUAAUUUACAAAUUCGAUGGACUAUGAUGCAAAUCAAUUGGGGUUUUUUGUGCUAAUGCAUUGCUGGUAGGAUUAUGAACAAAAUCCUCAACCCAAUUUAAAUUUUCAACAACUCCGGCGGCGGCAGUGCCUUGGCAAAAACUUAAAGAAAGAGAUGUUGACAAAAGCUUCAUGUUUUUGCUUCUUUUCUUCGAUCUACUUUAAAAAGAAAAUUAAUUGAGAAAUCAGUCAUGGGAAAGGGAGUUGUUGCAUUUGUUGUUUUAGUAGAUUUUGUGGGGGGGUUGGGGUGGUUAAUUGAGGAGUUCUUGAAGUGGGUUUAAGGGAUUUUUAUUGUUUCUUUGGUGUUGGUGAAUCCGGUUCUUCAAUUUUGAUUGUCAUUGUAGAGAUGAGAGGUAGCAGCAAGAAGAUUAUUCUUAAAAAGCACUAUUUUUUUCUUUUGUCGCACAAUUUCUGGUGGUU
This 671-nucleotide long non-coding RNA is filed under the name Capsicum annuum. RNAcentral describes it as "long non-coding RNA (CANN_LNC002340)". Lineage: Eukaryota; Viridiplantae; Streptophyta; Magnoliopsida; Solanales; Solanaceae. The record is from RNAcentral.